AAUGAACGCUGGCGGCAGGCCUAACACAUGCAAGUCGAACGGAUCCUUCGGGAUUAGUGGCGGACGGGUGAGUAACGCGUGGGAACAUACCCUUUGGUACGGAAUAGCCUCGGGAAACUGGAGUAAUACCGUAUGUGGUCGAGAGACGAAAGAUUUAUCGCCAAAGGAUUGGCCCGCGUUGGACUAGGUAGUUGGUGGGGUAAUGGCCUACCAAGCCGACGAUCCAUAGCUGGUUUGAGAGGAUGAUCAGCCACACUGGGACUGAGACACGGCCCAGACUCCUACGGGAGGCAGCAGUGGGGAAUCUUAGACAAUGGGGGAAACCCUGAUCUAGCCAUGCCGCGUGAUCGAUGAAGGCCUUAGGGUUGUAAAGAUCUUUCAGGUGGGAAGAUAAUGACUGUACCACCAGAAGAAGCCCCGGCUAACUCCGUGCCAGCCGCCGCGGUAA
RNAcentral lists this ribosomal RNA (448 nucleotides) under uncultured bacterium. RNAcentral describes it as "partial 16S ribosomal RNA". It matches the Rfam family "Bacterial small subunit ribosomal RNA", at positions 29 to 523 of the family's 1533-position model. The record is from RNAcentral.